Molecule: ribosomal RNA, 254 nt
Filed under: uncultured bacterium
Lineage: Bacteria
Description: partial 16S ribosomal RNA
Rfam family: Bacterial small subunit ribosomal RNA
Source: RNAcentral
UACGUAGGGCGCAAGCGUUGUCCGGAAUUAUUGGGCGUAAAGAGCUCGUAGGCGGCCUGUUACGUCUGCUGUGAAAUCCCGGGGCUUAACCCCGGGCGUGCAGUGGAUACGGGCAGGCUGGAGGCAGGCAGGGGAGAACGGAAUUCCCGGUGUAGCGGUGAAAUGCGCAGAUAGUCGGGAGGAACACCGGUGGCGAAGGCGGUUCUCUGGGCCUGUACUGACGCUGAGGAGCGAAAGCGUGGGGAGCGAACAGG